GAUGAACGCUGGCGGCGUGCCUAAUACAUGCAAGUCGAGCGAACGGACGAGAAGCUUGCUUCUCUGAUGUUAGCGGCGGACGGGUGAGUAACACGUGGAUAACCUACCUAUAAGACUGGGAUAACUUCGGGAAACCGGAGCUAAUACCGGAUAAUAUUUUGAACCGCAUGGUUCAAAAGUGAAAGACGGUCUUGCUGUCACUUAUAGAUGGAUCCGCGCUGCAUUAGCUAGUUGGUAAGGUAACGGCUUACCAAGGCAACGAUGCAUAGCCGACCUGAGAGGGUGAUCGGCCACACUGGAACUGAGACACGGUCCAGACUCCUACGGGAGGCAGCAGUAGGGAAUCUUCGGCAAUGGGCGAAAGCCUGACGGAGCAACGCCGCGUGAGUGAUGAAGGUCUUCGGAUCGUAAAACUCUGUUAUUAGGGAAGAACAUAUGUGUAAGUAACUGUGGACAUCUUGACGGUACCUAAUCAGAAAGCCACGGCUAACUACGUG
This 497-nucleotide ribosomal RNA is filed under the name uncultured bacterium. RNAcentral describes it as "partial 16S ribosomal RNA". It matches the Rfam family "Bacterial small subunit ribosomal RNA", at positions 28 to 507 of the family's 1533-position model. The record is from RNAcentral.